This 77-nucleotide transfer RNA is filed under the name Planctomycetota bacterium. RNAcentral describes it as "Planctomycetes bacterium (bioreactor metagenome) tRNA-Arg". It matches the Rfam family "tRNA". Rfam says of the family: Transfer RNA (tRNA) molecules are approximately 80 nucleotides in length. Their secondary structure includes four short double-helical elements and three loops (D, anti-codon, and T loops). Lineage: Bacteria; Pseudomonadati; Planctomycetota. The record is from RNAcentral.
GCGCCCGUAGCUCAGUUGGAUAGAGCGGCGGUUUCCUAAACCGCAGGCCGUGGGUUCAAAUCCCGCCGGGCGCACCA